This 1245-nucleotide long non-coding RNA is filed under the name Coturnix japonica (Japanese quail). Its description in RNAcentral is "lncRNA (ENSCJPG00005002298.1)". Lineage: Eukaryota; Metazoa; Chordata; Aves; Galliformes; Phasianidae. The record is from RNAcentral.
AUGGGCCCAAACCCAAUAUGGGGUGGAACCCUUUAAUAUGGGGCGGAACCCAAUAUGGGGCGGAACCCUUUAAUAUGGGGCGGAACCCUUUAAUAUGGGGCGGAACCCAAUAUGGGGCAGAACCCAAUAUGGGGCCAAACCCAAUAUGGGGCGGAACCGGAGGCGGUUCUGGGUCCGGAUUAAUACGACAAAACCCCAUAGACCCUCUUAAGGGGAACUGAAACCUUUUAUGGGGCGGAACCCAAUAUGGGCCCAAACCCAAUAUGGGGUGGAACCCGAUAUGGGGUGGAACCCUUUAAUAUGGGGCGGAACCCAAUAUGGGGCGGAACCCAAUAUGGGGCGGAACACAAUAUGGGCUGGAACCCUUUUAUAUGGGGCUGAACCCGAUAUGGGGCCGAACCCUUUAAUGUGGGGCGGAAACCAAUAUGGGGCGGAACCCUUUUAUAUGGGGAGGAACCUGAUAUGGGGCCGAACCCAAUAUGGGGUCAAACCCAAUAUGGGGCGGAACCCUUUAAUAUGGGGCUGAACCCAAUAUGGGGCUGAACCCAAUAUGGGGCCAAACCCAAUAUGGGGCCAAACCCAAUAUGGGGCCAAACCCAAUAUGGGGCGGAACCCUUUAAUAUGGGGCGGAACCCUUUAAUAUGGGGCUGAACCCAAUAUGGGGCGGAACCCUUUAAUAUGGGGCGGAACCGGAGGCGGUUCCGGGUUCAUAGGGUUCCCAUAGGGUUCAAUGAGAUAUAGGAUGGUUUAUAGGAUGUUUUAGGGUCGGAUCUGGAUCUUCCAUGGCCCUACAAGAGACUUAUGGCAACUGGUUGGGUCCCCCUCCCAUCCCAGCCAAGAGGUUGGCGAGACAAGCAGCAGGGAUUUACUCGGUCGCAGGUAACGUGGCUCCCAUUGGUCCCUUCAGGUCGGGUGAGUCCUUUAUUUUCUCCUUUUUUGGCCUUUUUUGACCCAUUUUUUCACUUUUUGGCCCUAAAAUGGGAUCUUAGCACCCAUAGAAUCCAAUGGGGAUCGAUUAAAGGUGGAUGGGAUUGGUUGGAUGGGAGAUAUUCAAUCCCUAAAUCCACCAAUGGGAUGACAGCAAUGGAUGGGAUCCACCAAUGGGAUCGUCCCAAUUGAAGGGAUCCACCAAUGGGAUCGCACCAGUGGAAAGGAUCCACCAAUGGGAUUACCCCAAUGGAUGGGAUCCACCAAUGGGAUCCACACAGUGGAAGGGAUCCACCAAUGGGAUCGCACCAAUGGGAG